This 253-nucleotide ribosomal RNA is filed under the name uncultured bacterium. RNAcentral describes it as "partial 16S ribosomal RNA". It matches the Rfam family "Bacterial small subunit ribosomal RNA", at positions 524 to 776 of the family's 1533-position model. The record is from RNAcentral.
UACGUAGGGUGCAAGCGUUGUCCGGAAUUAUUGGGCGUAAAGAGCUCGUAGGCGGUCUGUCGCGUCGGCUGUGAAAUCCCGAGGCUCAACCUCGGGUCUGCAGUCGAUACGGGCAAACUAGAGUGUGGUAGGGGAGACUGGAAUUCCUGGUGUAGCGGUGAAAUGCGCAGAUAUCAGGAGGAACACCGAUGGCGAAGGCAGGUCUCUGGGCCACUACUGACGCUGAGAAGCGAAAGCGUGGGGAGCGAACAGG